Molecule: ribosomal RNA, 253 nt
Filed under: uncultured bacterium
Lineage: Bacteria
Description: partial 16S ribosomal RNA
Rfam family: Bacterial small subunit ribosomal RNA
Source: RNAcentral
UACGUAGGUGACAAGCGUUGUCCGGAUUUACUGGGCGUAAAGAGCGCGCAGGCGGUCGUUCAAGUCGAGUGUGAAAGCCCCCGGCUCAACUGGGGAGGGUCAUUCGAUACUGAUCGACUCGAAGGCAGGAGAGGGUAGUGGAAUUCCCGGUGUAGUGGUGAAAUUCGUAGAUAUUCGGAAGAACACCAGUGGCGAAGGCGGCUCACUGGACCGGCAUUGACGCUGAUGUGCGAAAGCGUGGAGAGCAAACAGG